This 377-nucleotide ribosomal RNA is filed under the name Olea europaea subsp. europaea. RNAcentral describes it as "LSU_rRNA_bacteria". Lineage: Eukaryota; Viridiplantae; Streptophyta; Magnoliopsida; Lamiales; Oleaceae. The record is from RNAcentral.
GGCUUAUCGAUUCCUCGAAUAACAAUAUCAAUAGGUUCAAUUGUGAAAAUAGCCAGAGAAAGAGAAAGUAAAAGCAAUUCCCAUAGUAACGACGAACAAAAUGGGAGCAGCCUAAACUGUGAAAAUAGAAUUGUGGAAGAGCGAUACAAGCAUCGUGCUAUUAGGCGAAACAACACAAACAUUGCACCAUAGAUGGUGAAAAUUCUGACAAGAAUAGUAUGGAGCAUGUAAAAUCCCAAGUGAAUUAGCAAAGACUAUAUUGCAAGACAAAUAAUCCCGAGUGACCGAUAGCAAAGUAGCACCCCAAGUGAAUUAGCAAAGACUACAUUGCAACACAAAUAAUCCCGAGUGACCGAUAGCAAAGUAGCACCGUGAGG